This is a non-coding RNA of Cricetulus griseus (Chinese hamster), 732 nucleotides long. The record is from RefSeq and is a predicted model, not a curated record. NCBI's taxonomy places the organism in Eukaryota, Metazoa, Chordata, Mammalia, Rodentia, Cricetidae.
AGCUGUCCUAUAAAUGAAUUAAUAAAUAAGUAAGAAAAUAGAAAUCUAGGAUAUUAGUGCUAAUGAGAAAGCAGGUCAAAAAGGCAAUUGAAAUUAAGACUAUAUCAGUGUUAUAUACUAGUAUAAAUAAACUAGACCUUCAAUAAUUUUCUUUUUAACUUUUUCUUCUGUUUUCAAAGAAUCUCCAUACAUAACCCAAUAGGCUUCACCAUAGACAAUCAAACUUGAAAUGACCUUCCUGCCUCAGGCUCCCAAGUAUAGGGAUUACAGAUGAUUCCCUCCAUACCCUCCUCCUUUUCGUAAGUUUUCAAUUAUGAAGAUUUCUUCCUUCCAGAAACAGGUUUCUAAGGGGCAGCUAUAAAGUUGUUUUCCUGAGGAUACCUACAAGACUGCUUACUAAAAGAUGCCCCCAGUUCCCAGAGGACUGACUACAAGGUUAAUACAGAAGCGACCAUCACUCAGUAUUUGAAGUUCCUGAGCCCAUACAUCAACUGAAGGAAGCAUGUGAAGGAUGCUAAUGAGAAACAUACAGCCAUCACAGGCCUCUAAAACAUUCCUGAGCACCCGACUAGAGGGGUAAGACUGAGCUCCAGAAUGACUUUGUCUCCUAUCCAGCCCUGCUUCUCCCAGUAUCAUCUGCUGCAUGAUGAGGAGAUGCAAACACACUUUUGAGGACGUUAAUCUACUGUUGUCUCAGAUUGUCAGCUCUCUGAAUAAAGCACAGAGAUUCAA